Molecule: long non-coding RNA, 1541 nt
Organism: Amaranthus tricolor (Joseph's coat)
Lineage: Eukaryota; Viridiplantae; Streptophyta; Magnoliopsida; Caryophyllales; Amaranthaceae
Exons: 3
Source: RefSeq, a predicted model, not a curated record
CUAAGCAUCCCAAAUCGAUCUAAAUUUCAGUUGUUCCCUUCCCAUUCAUUAUUGCUUUUUCUCAAGUAGUCAAAUCACAACUUUAUGAUGUUCACUUGUACUGCAUUUUCUUUUUAAAAUCCUUUUGAACCGUCAUUUUUAUUCUUACUUCCAUUACAACCUUUUUGCUUUCCCUUUCAAGAAACAAAUCCUUUCUUUUUUAAAGCUUUUCAAGAACUCAUCAAUAGCACCAAAAAGAAAACCUACUCGUUCUUCUACAAAAUAUGAAAAAGGCGAGUCUUCGAAGACUCUAGGGCUUGAAACUCCUAACCCAUCAAUUCCCUCACCUCUUGCUUAUUAAGAUAUUUUGAAAACUUGAAAUCACACAGUGGUUGGUAGAUGGAUUGACACAUUCAAGCAUCGAUCAUUAUCCUUUGUUGAUGUUCUUGACUACAAUUUCUUUCUAUCGAAGAUUUUGACGUUGUUUCAUCAUUUAUUCAAACAACUCCAAGGAAAUUGUUGGAUCCAGAUGGGUUUCCGACCUUAAGGAGUUUUGUCAAGGGCAAAGAUAUUGUAAUCUCUAAAAUCCUAAUCAAUGAUUUGUUCAAAUUCUCACAUAAUAUGGAAGAUUCCACCCCCAAUUUCGUAGCUUUUCAAAACGCCAAAGAGGAAGUGAAUUAUUCUGGUCCUCAGUCUCUAUAUAACAAUCUCCUCCCUCUCAUUAGCAUUUUCAAAGUUAAUGGUAAGUAUGAGUUGUACUCAAAUUUAUCAGUUUCUGAAAAGAAGGAUGUUCAAAAGAUCCAUGGGUAGAAAAUCAACCGUCUUGAACCACAAAUCAAAGACCACACUACCCAUUCUCACCUUGAGUUCCUUGACUCUGAGGUUAGUGAAAUCAAAUUAUCCCUCCUUGAACUUCACGAAAAAGUAUCCACUCUUACUUGUAUGCUAGAUACUUUCAUAAAAGAGAUGAAGGGGAUGGUUGUUGAGGAAGUGGUUGAAGAAGAAGACGUGGAGGAGGAAAAGGCUGAUGAAAAGAAGGAGGAAGUGACUAAAGAGGAGGCAGAGCAGGUAGAGGAAGAGGUAGAAGAAGAAGAGGAGUAGGAGGAGAAGAAAGAAGAGGAGGUUGUUGUUCCUGCACCACCAACACUGGUUGAAACUACACCUUUCCUUUAAAUUUGAUAUCUUUGCAUGAGUUAUGGUUGGUUGCUUGGUUGCUUGUUGUUUUGAUAAAAUUUGAUUGAUAUUAGAACCGUUGCAUGUAUUGUUAUUGGUAGAUACGUAUCAAAUAAUAUAGAUAUAUUAUAAAAACUGUUCUGUUUUGAGACAGAUUUCAAAAUAUUGAAAAGUUCCUAAUGAACUUACAUGGUUUAUAUUUUGUUUAAAUGUUUGUUCUUAUCAUGUUUUUAAAAUCAUUUUCACAUAGUAAUAUGAUUUCGAAAAAUAUGGUUUUAAUUUUUCAUCAAGGGGGAGAUUAAAGACUCAACUCCUUUAAGUGAUGAUGAUAUUCAAAAUGCAUAUUAAAUAAAACAAAUAAAUUAAUUUAUUAUAUUUAGUUGUUUAAU